This 311-nucleotide ribosomal RNA is filed under the name uncultured Gymnodinium. Its description in RNAcentral is "partial large subunit ribosomal RNA". It matches the Rfam family "Eukaryotic large subunit ribosomal RNA", at positions 40 to 350 of the family's 3401-position model. The record is from RNAcentral. Lineage: Eukaryota; Dinophyceae; Gymnodiniales.
GUAUAAGUAAGCGGAGGAAAAGAAACUAAAUAGGAUUCCCUCAGUAAUGGCGAAUGAACAGGGAUGAGCUCAGCAUGGAAAUCGGGGUCUAUGGCCUUGAAUUGUAGUCUGGAGAUUGUACUGCCAACGAGGGCGCAGAUGUAAGCCUCUUGGAAAAGAGCAUCAAUGAGGGUGAGAGUCCCGUUUGCCAUCUGUAGUCCUCGUGUACGGUGUGCCUUCCAAGAGUCACGUUCCUCGGGAUUGGAGCGCAAAGUGGGUGGUAAAUUUCAUCUAAAGCUGAAUAUUGGUUCGAGACCGAUAGCGCACAAGUA